UACGUAAGGGGCGAGCGUUGUUCGGAUUCACUGGGCGUAAAGGGUGCCUAGGCGGCAUGUUAAGUCGGAAGUGAAAUCCCCCGGUCCAACUGGGGAACUGCUUUCGAAACUGGCGUGCUUGAGUUCGGGAGAGGAGAGCGGAAUUCUCGGUGUAGCGGUGGAAUGCGUAGAUAUCGAGAAGAACACUCGUGGCGAAGGCGGCUCUCUGGAACGAUACUGACGCUGAAGCACGAAAGCCAGGGGAGCAAACGGG
This 253-nucleotide ribosomal RNA is filed under the name uncultured microorganism. Its description in RNAcentral is "partial small subunit ribosomal RNA". It matches the Rfam family "Bacterial small subunit ribosomal RNA", at positions 524 to 776 of the family's 1533-position model. The record is from RNAcentral.